AGAGCGAACGCUGGCGGCAGGCCUAACACAUGCAAGUCGAACGGACUCUUCGGAGUUAGUGGCGGACGGGUGAGUAACACGUGGGAACGUGCCUUUUGGUUCGGAAUAGCUCCUGGAAACGGGUGGUAAUGCCGAAUGUGCCCUUCGGGGGAAAGAUUUAUCGCCAUUAGAGCGGCCCGCGUCUGAUUAGCUAGUUGGUGAGGUAAAGGCUCACCAAGGCUACGAUCAGUAGCUGGUCUGAGAGGAUGACCAGCCACAUUGGGACUGAGACACGGCCCAAACUCCUACGGGAGGCAGCAGUGGGGAAUCUUGCGCAAUGGGCGAAAGCCUGACGCAGCCAUGCCGCGUGAAUGAUGAAGGUCUUAGGAUUAGUAAAAUUCUUUCAGUAGGGAACGAUAAGUGACGGUACCUACAGAAAGAACGCCCGCUAACUUCGUGCCAGCAGCCGAC
RNAcentral lists this ribosomal RNA (450 nucleotides) under uncultured soil bacterium. Its description in RNAcentral is "bacterial SSU rRNA". It matches the Rfam family "Bacterial small subunit ribosomal RNA", at positions 26 to 518 of the family's 1533-position model. The record is from RNAcentral.